This 526-nucleotide ribosomal RNA is filed under the name uncultured bacterium. Its description in RNAcentral is "bacterial SSU rRNA". It matches the Rfam family "Bacterial small subunit ribosomal RNA", at positions 777 to 1300 of the family's 1533-position model. The record is from RNAcentral.
AAUAGAUACCCUGGUAGUCCACGCUGUAAACGUUGGGCGCUAGAUGUGGGGGAUCUUUCCACGACUUCCGUGUCGUAGCUAACGCAUUAAGCGCCCCGCCUGGGGAGUACGGCCGCAAGGCUAAAACUCAAAGGAAUUGACGGGGGCCCGCACAAGCGGCGGAGCAUGCGGAUUAAUUCGAUGCAACGCGAAGAACCUUACCAAGGUUUGACAUGCACCGGAAUACCCUGGAGACAGGGGACUCUUUGAUACUGGUGUGCAGGUGGUGCAUGGUUGUCGUCAGCUCGUGUCGUGAGAUGUUGGGUUAAGUCCCGCAACGAGCGCAACCCUUGUCGCAUGUUGCCAGCACGUUAUGGUGGGGACUCAUGUGAGACUGCCGGGGUCAACUCGGAGGAAGGUGGGGAUGACGUCAAAUCAUCAUGCCCCUUAUGUCUUGGGCUUCACGCAUGCUACAAUGGCCGGUACAGAGGGCUGCGAUGUUGUGAGGCGGAGCGAAUCCCGUUAAAGCCGGUCUCAGUUCGGAUUG